ACGGAAGGCAGCAGUGAGGAAUAUUGGUCAAUGGACGGAAGUCUGAACCAGCCAAGUCGCGUGAAGGAUGAAGGUAUUAUGUAUUGUAAACUUCUUUAGACGCAGAGAAAUAAGCUCCACGCGUGGAGUGAUGCUAGUAUGCGUAGAAUAAGGAUCGGCUAACUCCGUGCCAGCAGCCGCGGUAAUACGGAGGAUCCGAGCGUUAUCCGGAUUUAUUGGGUUUAAAGGGAGCGUAGGCGGAAGGUCAAGUCAGCUGUGAAAUGUAGUCGCUCAACGUCUGCACUGCAGUUGAAGCUGGCCUCCUUGAGUGCGUAAGAGGCGGGCGGAAUUCGUCGUGUAGCGGUGAAAUGCUUAGAUAUGACGAAGAACUCCGAUUGCGAAGGCAGCUCGCUGGGCCGCAACUGACGCUGAAGCUCGAAGGUGCGGGUAUCAAACAGGAUUAGAUACCCUGGUA
Molecule: ribosomal RNA, 454 nt
Filed under: uncultured Prevotellaceae bacterium
Lineage: Bacteria; Pseudomonadati; Bacteroidota; Bacteroidia; Bacteroidales; Prevotellaceae
Description: bacterial SSU rRNA
Rfam family: Bacterial small subunit ribosomal RNA
Source: RNAcentral